UACGAACUGUGCGAACGUUAUUCGGAAUCACUGGGCUUACAGGGUGCGUAGGCGGCCUUUCAAGUCAGGUGUGAAAUCCCCCAGCUCAACUGGGGAACUGCGCUUGAAACUGGAGGGCUGGAGUCAGCUAGAGGUGCAUGGAACUUCCGGUGGAGCGGUGAAAUGUGUUGAUAUCGGAAGGAACACCAGAGGCGAAAGCGAUGCACUGGGGCUGUUCUGACGCUGAGGCACGAAAGCCAGGGGAGCGAACGGG
RNAcentral lists this ribosomal RNA (253 nucleotides) under uncultured bacterium. RNAcentral describes it as "partial 16S ribosomal RNA". It matches the Rfam family "Bacterial small subunit ribosomal RNA", at positions 524 to 776 of the family's 1533-position model. The record is from RNAcentral.